GAUGAACGCUGGCGGCGUGCCUAAUACAUGCAAGUCGAGCGAACAGACGAGGAGCUUGCUCCUCUGAUGUUAGCGGCGGACGGGUGAGUAACACGUGGAUAACCUACCUAUAAGACUGGGAUAACUUCGGGAAACCGGAGCUAAUACCGGAUAAUAUAUUGUACCGCAUGGUUCAAUAGUGAAAGACGGUUUUGCUGUCACUUAUAGAUGGAUCCGCGCCGCAUUAGCUAGUUGGUAAGGUAACGGCUUACCAAGGCAACGAUGCGUAGCCGACCUGAGAGGGUGAUCGGCCACACUGGAACUGAGACACGGUCCAGACUCCUACGGGAGGCAGCAGUAGGGAAUCUUCCGCAAUGGGCGAAAGCCUGACGGAGCAACGCCGCGUGAGUGAUGAAGGUCUUCGGAUCGUAAAACUCUGUUAUUAGGGAAGAACAAAUGUGUAAGUAACUAUGCACGUCUUGACGGUACCUAAUCAGAAAGCCACGGCUAACUACGUG
Molecule: ribosomal RNA, 497 nt
Filed under: uncultured bacterium
Lineage: Bacteria
Description: partial 16S ribosomal RNA
Rfam family: Bacterial small subunit ribosomal RNA
Source: RNAcentral